This 497-nucleotide ribosomal RNA is filed under the name uncultured bacterium. RNAcentral describes it as "partial 16S ribosomal RNA". It matches the Rfam family "Bacterial small subunit ribosomal RNA", at positions 28 to 507 of the family's 1533-position model. The record is from RNAcentral.
GAUGAACGCUGGCGGCGUGCCUAAUACAUGCAAGUCGAGCGAACAGACGAGGAGCUUGCUCCUUCGACGUUAGCGGCGGACGGGUGAGUAACACGUAGGUAACCUACCUAUAAGACUGGGAUAACUUCGGGAAACCGGAGCUAAUACCGGAUAAUAUUUCGAACCGCAUGGUUCGAUAUUGAAAGAUGGCUUUGCUAUCACUUAUAGAUGGACCUGCGCCGUAUUAGCUAGUUGGUAAGGUAACGGCUUACCAAGGCAACGAUACGUAGCAGACCUGAGAGGGUGGUCAGCCACACUGGAACGGAAACAAGAUCCAGACUACUACGGGAGGCGACAGAAGAGAAUGUUCCGCAAUGGGCGAAAGCCUGACGGAGCAACGCCGCGUGAGGGAUAAAGGUCUUCGGAUCGUAAAACUCUGUUAUUAGGGAAGAACAAACGUGUAAGUAACUGGGCACGUCUUGACGGUACCUAAUCAGAAAGCCACGGCUAACUACGUG